GUGGGGAAUAUUGGUCAAUGGACGGAAGUCUGAACCAGCCAAGUAGCGUGCAGGAUGACGGCCCUAUGGGUUGUAAACUGCUUUUGUACGGGAAUAAAGUCGGGGACGUGUCCCCGUUUGUAUGUACCGUAAGAAUAAGGACCGGCUAAUUCCGUGCCAGCAGCCGCGGUAAUACGGAAGGUCCGGGCGUUAUCCGGAUUUAUUGGGUUUAAAGGGAGCGCAGGCUGGAGAUUAAGCGUGACGUGAAAUGCCGCGGCUCAACCGUGGAAGUGCGUCGCGAACUGGUUUCCUUGAGUGUAUUCGACGUCAGCGGAAUUCGUGGUGUAGCGGUGAAAUGCUUAGAUAUCACGAAGAACUCCGAUUGCGAAGGCAGCUGGCGAGGCUAUAACUGACGCUAAAGCUCGAAGGUGCGGGUAUCGAACAGG
This 425-nucleotide ribosomal RNA is filed under the name uncultured rumen bacterium. RNAcentral's name for it is "bacterial SSU rRNA". It matches the Rfam family "Bacterial small subunit ribosomal RNA", at positions 354 to 776 of the family's 1533-position model. The record is from RNAcentral.